RNAcentral lists this ribosomal RNA (253 nucleotides) under uncultured bacterium. RNAcentral's name for it is "partial 16S ribosomal RNA". It matches the Rfam family "Bacterial small subunit ribosomal RNA", at positions 524 to 776 of the family's 1533-position model. The record is from RNAcentral.
GACAGAGGGUGCAAACGUUGUUCGGAAUUACUGGGCGUAAAGCGUGCGUAGGCGGUUCGUUAAGUCUGUCGUGAAAGCCCUGGGCUCAACCUGGGAACUGCGAUGGAUACUGGCGAGCUAGAGUACGGUAGAGGAUGGUGGAAUUCCCGGUGUAGCGGUGAAAUGCGUAGAGAUCGGGAGGAACACCCGUGGCGAAGGCGGUGGCCUGGACCUGUGCUGACGCUGAGGCGCGAAAGCGUGGGGAGCGAUCCGG